CCUACGGGUGACAGCAGUGAGGAAUAUUGGUCAAUGAGCGAGAGCCUGAACCAGCGAAAUCGCGUGAAGGAUGACGGCCCUACGGGUUGUAAACUUCGUUUGACAGGGAGCAAUUGAGUCCACGUGAGGGCUUAGAGAGAGUACCUGAAGAAACAGCAUCGGCUAACUCCGUGCCAGCAGCCGCGGUCAUACGGAGGAUGCGAGCGUUAUCCGGAUUUAUUGUGUUUAAAGGGUGCGUAGGCGGAAUAUCAAGUCAGCGGUAAAAAUUCGGGGCUCAACCCCGUCGUGCCGUUGAAACUGAUGUUCUUGAGUGGGCGAGAAGUAUGCGGAAUGCGUGGUGUAGCGGUGAAAUGCAUAGAUAUCACGCAGAACUCCGAUUGCGAAGGCAGCAUACCGGCGCCCAACUGACGCUGAAGCACGAAAGCGUGGGUAUCGAACAGGAUUAGAUACCCGAGUAGUC
RNAcentral lists this ribosomal RNA (460 nucleotides) under uncultured bacterium. RNAcentral describes it as "partial 16S ribosomal RNA". It matches the Rfam family "Bacterial small subunit ribosomal RNA", at positions 338 to 795 of the family's 1533-position model. The record is from RNAcentral.